Molecule: unclassified non-coding RNA, 24 nt
Filed under: Mus musculus (house mouse)
Lineage: Eukaryota; Metazoa; Chordata; Mammalia; Rodentia; Muridae
Description: oocyte_clustered_small_RNA11053
Source: RNAcentral
UGUGGUUAGAGAGCUGAUGUGUGU